UCCGGUUUGUCACCGGCGGUCUCCUUAGAGUUCCCACCAUUACGUGCUGGCAACUAAGGACAAGGGUUGCGCUCGUUGCGGGACUUAACCCAACAUCUCACGACACGAGCUGACGACAGCCAUGCAGCACCUGUCUCACGGUUCCCGAAGGCACCCUCUCAUCUCUGAAAGGUUCCGUGGAUGUCAAGGCCAGGUAAGGUUCUUCGCGUUGCAUCGAAUUAAACCACAUACUCCACCGCUUGUGCGGGCCCCCGUCAAUUCCUUUGAGUUUCAGCCUUGCGGCCGUACUCCCCAGGCGGGGCACUUAACAUAUUAACUCCGACAGUGACGGCAUCGGACCUCCACUGCCUAGUGCCCAUCGUUUACGGCGUGGACUAC
This 378-nucleotide unclassified non-coding RNA is filed under the name uncultured Pseudomonadota bacterium. RNAcentral's name for it is "uncultured proteobacterium contains 16S-23S intergenic spacer region". The record is from RNAcentral. Lineage: Bacteria; Pseudomonadati; Pseudomonadota.